CGCAGUUAACGAAUAAUAGAUUUAGCGGUAGCUAAACAAGUGCAGCGAACCAGUUACUCUUUAGUAUUGUUUAGCAUCAAUUUCUAAAUGGAAGAUUUGGUUUUUAAACCCCUAAACUCAAGAAUUUGUUUAGACACGUCACUGAUAGUGAUUUCUACUGAGACAGAGGGACUUUAAACACUGAAGAAAGAAAAAGAAGACUUCUACAAACAGAACAUUCAUCUGUUUCUUCAGGAGGAACAGCGCACAGGCUUCAGUCAUAAGGAAAAGUAAGAAAGAAGUCUGCUAAGCUCCGCCUCCUAUGUGAGGAUGUCUGUGUUGCACGUGUGUGUGUGUUUGCCAGAGGGGUAACGCCAUCACCAACUUGGAAAGAGAAAGUAAGUGGUUUCCCAGACCUCCACCAGGAGACACAGCGAGGAAAAAGGGAAUAAACGUGCAGCGUUUUGUGUCUGCAUGUGCCCGAGGCUUUCCGUCUCCCUCUGCAUAUUAAGUGGCGGCGCUGAAAACACACGGAGCGCGGGACCGCGGCACACAGUCAGGGAGACGCACACGUUUGUCUUCCAAUGUGACGCCGACAGAUUCAAACUCAGAACUUCCUAAUUGUGUUCGGCAUGUAAAAACUCAAUCACACUUUCAGUAAUUUCAGCGAUCUUGGUAUCAGAACAUUUAGCUCAUUUAAGACAUUUCUGCUUGUAUUUUUGGUAUUUAUAACCUUUAUAGUUUUUGAAAUGUUGAGCAAAAUAUGCCCCACAGGAAAUACAUGGGAAAAUCUUCAAAUUCAGUAUUUUUACUUAGAUUAGCAACAGGUCUUUAUAUAUAUUCAUUCACGGUCUAUGUUUUCAUGUUUUAUAGUAAUUUCCCAAAAAUUCGGCAUUGAGCGGUUAUAUCAGCACUAUGCUGGCUCAUUUGGGUAAUUUGGCAUCUACUGUGUUUUUGUUUUAGACUAAUUUAGAGUUUAGGUUCUAUUUUAGCAACAGGCUAACAUUUUUGGCUAGUUUGGUUUACUGAGAAAUCUUAGGCUCU
Molecule: long non-coding RNA, 1023 nt
Organism: Oryzias melastigma (Indian medaka)
Lineage: Eukaryota; Metazoa; Chordata; Actinopteri; Beloniformes; Adrianichthyidae
Exons: 3
Source: RefSeq, a predicted model, not a curated record